AACUACAAGUUAAGACUGCCGCUCAGGCAGUUUGGAUUUCUCAUGCCUCUGAAUCAGCAGGCAAAGAAGAAAGUUGCAGUACUGGCUGGGGUGAAUGAUUCUGAAUACCAAGGGAAAUUGGACUACUCCCCAGUGGAGGUAAAGGGAGAGAAUGUUCAGAAUACAAGAGAUUCCUUAGGGAUCUCUUAGUAUUACCAUGCCCUGCAAUUAAGGUCAAUGGAAAAGAACAACAACUCAAUCCAGACACUACUACUAAAGGCACAGAUUCUUCAGGAAUGAAAGUUUGGGUCACCAUACCAGGUAAAGAACCAAGACUUGCCGAGGUGCUUCUGAAGUCAAUGGGAAUGCAGAGUGAGACCAGUUGAACACCUGGAAAGUGAGUGAAUGCAGAAAGAAGAGACCCUCAGACUAAGCAGAGACUGAAGAAGAAGAUGUUGAUAAAAUCAAUGCACAGAAAUCAGUGGCAUUCCUAUACACCAACAACAAGACAGAAGACAGAGAAAUUAAGGAGUCGAUUCCAUUUACAGUUGCACCCAAAAUCAUGAUACCUAGGAAUAAACCUAACCAAAGAGGCAAAGAAUCUGUAUUCAGAAAACUAUAAAAUACUCAUGAAAGAAAUUAAGGAAGACACAAAGAAAUGGAAAAACAUUCCAUGCUCAUGGAUUGGAAGAACAAAUAUUGUGAAGAUGUCAAUGCUACCUAGAGCGAUCUACACAUUCAAUGCAAUCCCCAUCAAAAUACCAUCAACUUUUUUCAAACAAAUGGAGCAAAUAAUCUUAAAAUUUGUAUGGGCCCAGAAAAGACCCCAAAUAGCCAGAGGAAUGUUGAAAAAGAAAAGCAAAGCUGGCAGCAUCACAAUUCCGGACCUCAAGCUCUAUUACAAAGCUGUCAUCAAGACAGUAUGGUACUGGCACAAAAACAGACACAUAGAUCAGUGGAACAGAAUAGAGAGCCCAGAAAUGGACCCUCAACUCUAUGGUCAACUAAUCUUCGACAAAGCAGGAAAGAAUGUCCAAUGGAAAAAAGACAGUCUCUUCAACAAAUGGUGUUGGGAAAAUUGGACAGCAAUAUGCAGAAGAAGGAAACUGGACCAUUUCCUUACAUCAUGCAGGGCUUUUAAAACCAUGUUGAGAAAUUUGAAUUGUACUCCACAUACAGUGGAAGCCAUUAAUGAAUUAUGAAUAGAAGUUGACAUGAUCCAAAUAUGAUUUCUCUGGCUGCCUUGUGAAGAAUGUGGAAGGUAAUAAGAAUGAAAACAUAGAGUUAGAAAGAUGUCAUAGUUCAAGCCAGGAGAAGUGAUGAUCUAAAGCAAAUUGGUACAGAAGAUACAACUAUAAAUCUGCUGAUGAGUUGCAUUUGGGGAUGAGAAUGAAGAAUGAAACAAAUAAUAAAUAUGGAUUCCUGAUUUCAACAAGUGGGAAAGUGGUGGUAUGUACUGUGAUGAGAAAUAUCUGGGGAGGGACACAGAUUUCAGAUGUCAGAAAAAUGUUCUUUUUGGACAAGUUAGUUCUGAGAUGUUGGUAAGACAUUGAAAUAGAAAUAACAAAUAGGCAAUUAAAUGUAUGCUUUCUAGAGGAAAUCAGACUAGAGAUAUACAUUUGGAACUCCUGGCAUAUGAAUGACUUAAAUGUCAUGAGAAUAAUGGGGAUGAUCUGGAGAGAGUGUGUAAAGAAAAAAAAAAAAAAAAGAAAGUGAACACAUGUACUAGAAUAAACAAGAAUAUAUGGCAUCACAGGACUCAAAAAAAAAGUUUUUCAAUAUGUAUCAUGAAAAAGAUGCUUAAACGCAACGCUUAUGUGAAUAAAUUGAAUUAAAUUUUA
Molecule: long non-coding RNA, 1820 nt
Organism: Mirounga angustirostris (Northern elephant seal)
Lineage: Eukaryota; Metazoa; Chordata; Mammalia; Carnivora; Phocidae
Exons: 3
Source: RefSeq, a predicted model, not a curated record